ACGGGUGAGUAACGCGUGGGAAUCUACCUAGUUCUACGGAACAACAGUUGGAAACGACUGCUAAUACCGUAUACGCCCUAUGGGGGAAAGAUUUAUCGGAAUUAGAUGAGCCCGCGUAAGAUUAGCUAGUUGGUGGGGUAAUGGCCUACCAAGGCGACGAUCUUUAGCUGGUCUGAGAGGAUGAUCAGCCACACUGGGACUGAGACACGGCCCAGACUCCUACGGGAGGCAGCAGUGGGGAAUAUUGGACAAUGGGCGCAAGCCUGAUCCAGCCAUGCCGCGUGAGUGAUGAAGGCCUUAGGGUUGUAAAGCUCUUUCAGUGGGGAAGAUAAUGACGGUACCCACAGAAGAAGCCCCGGCUAACUUCGUGCCAGCAGCCGCGGUAAUACGAAGGGGGCUAGCGUUGUUCGGAUUUACUGGGCGUAAAGCGCACGUAGGCGGAUUGGUCAGUUAGGGGUGAAAUCCUGGAGCUCAACUCCAGAACUGCCUUUAAUACUGCCAGUCUCGAGUCCGGAAGAGGUAAGUGGAACUCCUAGUGUAGAGGUGGAAUUCGUAGA
Molecule: ribosomal RNA, 557 nt
Filed under: uncultured bacterium
Lineage: Bacteria
Description: bacterial SSU rRNA
Rfam family: Bacterial small subunit ribosomal RNA
Source: RNAcentral